GUGAGGAAUAUUGGUCAAUGGACGGAAGUCUGAACCAGCCAUGCCGCGUGCAGGAAUAAGGUCCUAUGGAUUGUAAACUGCUUUUAUUCGGGAAUAAACCUCUUUACGUGUAGGGAGCUGAAGGUACCGAAGGAAUAAGCACCGGCUAACUCCGUGCCAGCAGCCGCGGUAAUACGGAGGGUGCAAGCGUUAUCCGGAAUCAUUGGGUUUAAAGGGUCCGCAGGCGGGCUAUCAAGUCAGAGGUGAAAUCCCACAGCUUAACUGUGGAACUGCCUUUGAAAAUGAUGGUAUUGGAUUAAGUGGGCGUUGGCGGAAUAUGACAUGUAGCGGUGAAAUGCAUAGAUAUGUCAUGGAACACCGAAAGCGAAGGCAGCUAACGAUACUUAUAUUGACGCUCAUGGACGAAAGCGUGGGUAGCGAACAGGAUUAGAUACCCCAGUAGUCC
This 445-nucleotide ribosomal RNA is filed under the name uncultured bacterium. Its description in RNAcentral is "partial 16S ribosomal RNA". It matches the Rfam family "Bacterial small subunit ribosomal RNA", at positions 354 to 796 of the family's 1533-position model. The record is from RNAcentral.